This 505-nucleotide ribosomal RNA is filed under the name uncultured bacterium. Its description in RNAcentral is "bacterial SSU rRNA". It matches the Rfam family "Bacterial small subunit ribosomal RNA", at positions 28 to 523 of the family's 1533-position model. The record is from RNAcentral.
GACGAACGCUGGCGGCGUGGAUUAGGCAUGCAAGUCGAACGGUAUCAUCCUUUCGGGGGUGAGAGAGUGGCGAACUGGUGAGUAACACGUAGGUUAUCUACCCUCAAGACGGGGACAACCCAGGGAAACUUGGGCUAAUACCGGAUGUGAGCAACUUUUAGUUGUUUGAAAGGUGGCGUAAGCUGUCGCUUGGGGAUGAGCCUGCGUCCUAUUAGUUAGUUGGUGAGGUAACGGCUCACCUAGGCAAUGAUAGGUAGGCGGCCUUAACGGGUGGUCGCCCCACACUGGGAUUGAGAUACGGCCCAGACUCCUACGGGAGGCAGCAGUCGAGAAUAGUCUACAAUGGUCGGAAGACUGAUAGUGCGACGCCGCGUGAACGAUGAAUCCCUUCGGGGUGUAAAGUUCUUUUAUAUGUGAGCAGUGCUUCUUAUAUUAACAGUAUGGGGGAGAGAGAUAUUAGCAUAUGAAUAAGCAACGGCUAACUCCGUGCCAGCAGCCGCGGUAA